UCGUUGAAACACCGAAGUUAAGCAACGGCAAGCCGAGUCAGUACCUCGAUGGGUAACCUCUUGGGAAUACCAGGUGCUGUAAG
Molecule: non-coding RNA, 83 nt
Organism: Acanthosepion pharaonis
Lineage: Eukaryota; Metazoa; Mollusca; Cephalopoda; Sepiida; Sepiidae
Source: the annotation of a GenBank genome assembly